This 1271-nucleotide long non-coding RNA is filed under the name Fragaria vesca (wild strawberry). RNAcentral's name for it is "long non-coding RNA (FVES_LNC005414)". The record is from RNAcentral. Lineage: Eukaryota; Viridiplantae; Streptophyta; Magnoliopsida; Rosales; Rosaceae.
AAGGAGUCAAAGACGAAAUUGGGUAUUUCAACUUGAGAUGGGGUGGUGGGAUUGAUUUUAUGCACACCAGGUAUUUGUUAAAUUGCCUCACUAGGCUACAUUGCAUGUUCGUACUUAUUUUGUUUGUAGUAAUGAGUAAAGCUCUAGUGAGGGAUUGGUGAAUAAUGGAUUACCUUUAUCAUAAGGUGAGCUUAGGUAUUGCCAUUCUCUGUUAUUGUGUUGUUGUGUUUUGAGUUUGGAUUAAAGCAUGGGUUGUGUUAAUUUCAGAAAAGUGAAAGGAGGAGAACAGCUAGAGGAAGAGUUAGGAGGGGUUGGAAAGCUGCCGAGCCUAUUUGGAUUGUGGAGAUUAGAGCUUAAGGCAUGACUAUGGUUAGUUUGAUCUUAAGGUGAGGAAGGUGUUAGCAAGUUGAAUUUUGGUGUUGUUGUUGUGUUUUGUAACUUGUUUAUAAAUGAAUUGAGUUGACAUGGGAAUUAUAGUUGGUUGUUAGUAAGGGAUCGAGUUGUAGUGUACUGGUGAAAUUGAACUCCAAAUAUUAAAGUGUUGAGUUGGUUUAAGUGUCAAGAAAUAAGGUAUGUUGGUUUGAAAGGAGAUUGCUCUUUUGAUUUUAUUUGAACAUGAGAACAUAGUUAAGUAUUAUGGCACACAAACGAUACCUAUUAUUCUGUAAUCUAUUCCCAUGAAUUGUUCACUACGCCAAUUUUGCAAUCAUACGACAGGGAUCAAACGACAGAAGUAGUUUUUACUGUCGUCUGAUAAAUUUUUACGACAGCCAUUUAAAAUUCUGUCGUCUGAAUGCAACAACGUGCAGACAGUUAAAAUUAACGUGUUCAUAAGAUGACAUAUGACUGUCGUCUUAAAAAUAAGAGAAAUAUAACAAUUAAUAUAGACAUUUUGAGACGACAGAAGAGUAUCGUCUCUAAAAACAAAAAAAAUUGUCUAGGCCGUUGUUUUUACUUAAAUCAACUCUAUUCUAAGUUUUUCUAUAGCAGCGCUCCUUGCUAUAUAUAGUUAUGCUGAGGGAGUCUUCAACAUCAGCGGUAACUCACUAUGUACAUAUUUACAUUUAAAAUCAUUUUAUUAUACAUAUCCAUCGUUUUAUGUUUACAUUUGCAAUUAAAACACUACAUAUUUCGAUAAUAUAUUCAUCAGAUUCAUAUUACAUGCAUCAUAACAAUUAAGGAAGAAGAGGGUUCGCUGUAAGUUAUAGAUUAUAUAUUUGCAAUAGAACCCAAACAGGUAGCUGAUAGUUUUGUUAUUUCUAUUUGUCUAG